This 493-nucleotide ribosomal RNA is filed under the name uncultured bacterium. RNAcentral's name for it is "partial 16S ribosomal RNA". It matches the Rfam family "Bacterial small subunit ribosomal RNA", at positions 30 to 523 of the family's 1533-position model. The record is from RNAcentral.
AUUGAACGCUGGCGGCAGGCCUUACACAUGCAAGUCGAACGGUAACAGGUUAAGCUGACGAGUGGCGAACGGGUGAGCAAUGUAUCGGAACGUGCCCAGUCGUGGGGGAUAACUGCUCGAAAGAGCAGCUAAUACCGCAUACGACCUGAGGGUGAAAGCGGGGGAUCGCAAGACCUCGCGCGAUUGGAGCGGCCGAUAUCAGAUUAGGUAGUUGGUGGGGUAAAGGCCUACCAAGCCUACGAUCUGUAGCUGGUCUGAGAGGACGACCAGCCACACUGGGACUGAGACACGGCCCAGACUCCUACGGGAGGCAGCAGUGGGGAAUUUUGGACAAUGGACGCAAGUCUGAUCCAGCCAUGCCGCGUGCGGGAAGAAGGCCUUCGGGUUGUAAACCGCUUUUGUCAGGGAAGAAAAGGUUCUGGUUAAUACCUGGGACUCAUGACGGUACCUGAAGAAUAAGCACCGGCUAACUACGUGCCAGCCGCCGCCGUAA